RNAcentral lists this ribosomal RNA (465 nucleotides) under uncultured bacterium. Its description in RNAcentral is "partial 16S ribosomal RNA". It matches the Rfam family "Bacterial small subunit ribosomal RNA", at positions 338 to 795 of the family's 1533-position model. The record is from RNAcentral.
CCUACGGGAGGCAGCAGUGGGGAAUAUUGCGCAAUGGGCGAAAGCCUGACGCAGCGACGCCGCGUGAGGGAUGAAGGUCUUCUGAUCGGAAACCUCUGUCAGCAGGGAAGAACGGUCACUGUGCUAAUCAUCAGUGAAUUGACGGUACCUGCAAAGGAAGCACCGGCUAACGCCGUGCCAGCAGCCGCGGUAAUACGGAGGGUGCGAGCGUUAAUCGGAAUUACUGGGCGUAAAGCGCGCGUAGGCGGUAUGUCAAGUCAAGGGUGAAAUCCCCGGGCUCAACGUGGGAACUGCCUUUGAAACUGGCCAACUAGAGUGUGUGAGAGGAUAGUGGAAUUCCAGGUGUAGGAGUGAAAUCCGUAGAUAUCUGGCGGAACAUCAGUGGCGAAGGCGACUAUCUGGCACAUAACUGACGCUGAGGAGCGAAAGCGUGGGUAGCAAACAGGAUUAGAUACCCUUGUAGUC